This is a small nuclear RNA of Artibeus jamaicensis (Jamaican fruit-eating bat), 104 nucleotides long. Lineage: Eukaryota; Metazoa; Chordata; Mammalia; Chiroptera; Phyllostomidae. The record is from RefSeq and is a predicted model, not a curated record.
GUGCUCACUUCAGCAGCACAUAUACUAAAAUUGGCCUGAUACAGAGAUUAGCAAGGUCCCUAGGCAAGGAUGACAUGCAAAUUCUUGAAGCAUUCCAUAUUUUU